Molecule: ribosomal RNA, 531 nt
Filed under: uncultured Methylocystis sp.
Lineage: Bacteria; Pseudomonadati; Pseudomonadota; Alphaproteobacteria; Hyphomicrobiales; Methylocystaceae
Description: bacterial SSU rRNA
Rfam family: Bacterial small subunit ribosomal RNA
Source: RNAcentral
GGGUGAGUAACGCGUGGGAACAUGCCCUUCGGUUCGGAAUAACUCAGGGAAACUUGAGCUAAUACCGGAUACGCCCUUAGGGGGAAAGAUUUAUUGCCGAAGGAUUGGCCCGCGUCCGAUUAGCUAGUUGGUGAGGUAAUGGCUCACCAAGGCGACGAUCGGUAGCUGGUCUGAGAGGAUGAUCAGCCACACUGGGACUGAGACACGGCCCAGACUCCUACGGGAGGCAGCAGUGGGGAAUAUUGGACAAUGGGCGCAAGCCUGAUCCAGCCAUGCCGCGUGAGUGAUGAAGGCCCUAGGGUUGUAAAGCUCUUUCGCCAGGGACGAUAAUGACGGUACCUGGAUAAGAAGCCCCGGCUAACUUCGUGCCAGCAGCCGCGGUAAUACGAAGGGGGCUAGCGUUGUUCGGAAUCACUGGGCGUAAAGCGCACGUAGGCGGAUCUUCAAGUCAGGGGUGAAAUCCCGAGGCUCAACCUCGGAACUGCCUUUGAUACUGGAGGUCUCGAGUCCGGGAGAGGUGAGUGGAACUGC